GUGCUCAUUUCAGCAGCACAUAUACUAAAGUUGGAAUGCUUCAGAGAUUAGCAUGGCUCCUGCACAAGGAUGAUACACAAAUUUGUGAAACAUUACACAUUUUU
Small nuclear RNA from Jaculus jaculus (lesser Egyptian jerboa), 104 nucleotides. Lineage: Eukaryota; Metazoa; Chordata; Mammalia; Rodentia; Dipodidae. The record is from Ensembl.